RNAcentral lists this ribosomal RNA (492 nucleotides) under uncultured bacterium. RNAcentral's name for it is "partial 16S ribosomal RNA". It matches the Rfam family "Bacterial small subunit ribosomal RNA", at positions 29 to 507 of the family's 1533-position model. The record is from RNAcentral.
AGUGAACGCUGGCGGUAGGCCUAACACAUGCAAGUCGAACGGCAGCACAGUAAGAGCUUGCUCUUACGGGUGGCGAGUGGCGGACGGGUGAGGAAUACAUCGGAAUCUACUUUUUCGUGGGGGAUAACGUAGGGAAACUUACGCUAAUACCGCAUACGACCUACGGGUGAAAGCAGGGGAUCUUCGGACCUUGCGCGAUUGAAUGAGCCGAUGUCGGAUUAGCUAGUUGGCGGGGUAAAGGCCCACCAAGGCGACGAUCCGUAGCUGGUCUGAGAGGAUGAUCAGCCACACUGGAACUGAGACACGGUCCAGACUCCUACGGGAGGCAGCAGUGGGGAAUAUUGGACAAAGGGCGCAAGCCUGAUCCAACCAUACCGCGUGGGUGAAGAAGGCCUUCGGGUUGUAAAGCCCUUUUGUUGGGAAAGAAAAGCAGCAGGUUAAUACCCCGCUGUUCUGACGGUACCCAAAGAAUAAGCACCGGCUAACUUCGUG